GACGAACGCUGGCGGCGUGCUUAACACAUGCAAGUCGAACGGAAAGGCCCUGCUUUUGUGGGGUGCUCGAGUGGCGAACGGGUGAGUAACACGUGAGUAACCUGCCCUUGACUUUGGGAUAACUUCAGGAAACUGGGGCUAAUACCGGAUAGGAGCUCCUGCUGCAUGGUGGGGGUUGGAAAGUUUCGGCGGUUGGGGAUAGACUCGCAGCUUAUCGGCUUGUUGGUGGGGUAGUGGAUUACCAAGGCUUUGACGGGUAGCCGGCCUGAGCGGGUGACCGGCCACAUUGGGACUGAGGUACGGCCCAGACUCCAACGGGAGGCAGCAGUGGGGAAUAUUGCACAAUGGGCGGAAGCCUGAUGCAGCAACGCCGCGUGCGGGAUGACGGCCUUCGAGUUGUAAACCGAUGUCGCCUGUGACGAAGCGUGAGUGACGGUAAUGGGUAAAGAAGCAACGGCUAACUACGUG
This 468-nucleotide ribosomal RNA is filed under the name uncultured bacterium. Its description in RNAcentral is "partial 16S ribosomal RNA". It matches the Rfam family "Bacterial small subunit ribosomal RNA", at positions 28 to 507 of the family's 1533-position model. The record is from RNAcentral.